Long non-coding RNA from Oryctolagus cuniculus (rabbit), 2657 nucleotides. NCBI's taxonomy places the organism in Eukaryota, Metazoa, Chordata, Mammalia, Lagomorpha, Leporidae. The record is from Ensembl.
ACGGAGCCACUCUUGAGAAAUAUUUUCCAAGCUUUCUCCUCCACUUCCUGCACUGCAAGCAUUUAUACUAAAAGCGACCAGGAGAAAAGACUGAUAUAGUGCAGAGCAGGAGGACCCACGGGAGUGAUCUUAGUCAACUGAUGGAGGAGGCGUGCAGUGAAAGUGGCACACUCAGAGCGAUUCCCAAGGGACACCUUGCUACAACGAACACCCUGCUUCCAGCAACGACCUGGGAUGGACACACACGGGGCAGCUUGGAAAACUGAGGCCACAGACCGGUGCCUGAUAAAACGGUGAAGCAGACGACCAGAGGAAGGCUGGGGCAGAUCCGAUCCUCGCAGUUCUUGGCAGAGAGCUUGGCCGACACUCCGCAGAAAGGCAGGGUGGAGGGGUGGUGGGCUUUCGUCCUGCAAAUGCAUGCCAUGUCAGUCUGAGAACGGAGCCUGCUAUCAUACAUGCCUUUAACCCAGGAGCCUGUUUCGCACAUGCGUGGGAAGACUUGGGGGACGUAGGCCAGCGGGGCUACAGCCGGAGGUCAGGGAGCAGGGACUGAAGACCUCAGCAGAUUCUCCAAGCCUCACUAGGGCCAUUCUGGAGGCGCUCCCACCAGCUGGUUCUGUCUUCCACAGCGCUGUGGCUCCAGGAAGCUCGAGAAUAACACUGAGUCUGUGUGGCUUCCACCCUGCUGCAGGAAGGAUGGCUCUCCUCACUCCCGUGCUGCUCCUGCUCCCCCAGCCCCUGGAGCGGCCGCUCACCUGCUAAGUGCACUUGGACUCACUGCAGCAUUGCGGUGAAACCACCAGCCACGCGGUGGGAUAGAUGCUUUUGGAGGAGAUCAAGCAGUCACUUGAAAACGAGACAAAGGUUUUUCUCUCAGGCGAGGGUUCUGUUCAGGGGAAAUCUCACUGUGAGUCGGAUCCAUUGUGUGGCUGAGAGCAGGUGCUUCAGAGGGUGGUGGGGGCGGCCAUCAGCUGACCACAGAGGAGGCCGUUUGAUGGCGCGUGGCGAUCAGAACAGGAGCAUGCUGGGGGUCGGGUGGGCCACAGCACCAUGGAGGGCAGCUGCUUCAUUUUACAGAUGGGGCAAUGACAUCAGUGCGUGAGGAUGUCUCUGACCACACAGUGGUUUGUAGCAGGGCUGGGCUGGGGUCCAGCGCCAGGCACCCACCCUGUGGUCCUAUCUGACAAGUGGAUAUCCUGAAGUCCCACCUGCUCCUCGUCAGUAGGCACGUCUUACUUUGUGGUUGGCUCAUUAGGGACAAUGGCAUGAACCAGCCACCCCAAGAUCCCUAUUUCAGUCUGUGGUUACGAUUUUCUGCUAAUUUUUGAAGAGUUGAUGAGACUAUCUUUUGCGUGUUUUUGUACAAACUUCUUUUAACUACUAAGCUGUCAUCCACCCAUUUAUUCAGCAAGUAUUUAUCGGAUGUUGCUGUGGGGCCUCAUGGGCCUGGGAUGCUGAGGUGGAUUAGACACAGUCCCUGCCAGAGGUCUUCAACUCCACUAGCCAUGGUCAUUGCCUCAUUGUCCUGAGACCCCUCCGGUGGGUCUGGGAGGUCACAGCUGAUUUCCUGGGGUUCAUUGUUGACCCUGGCCCUAUCUCAAGGCUGUGCAGGAGACAUCCAGGAGGAAGAAUGUCCGGAGCCCAGCGCCAUCCGUGAAAGAUUUGCAGACUGUCAAACACUUUCUGCACUAAUGUUUACAAAAAGAGUUCGAAUUCCUAAAGUAUGUUGAUUAUGGUUAACAAGGAUGGGGCUUAUUGCUAUUUUAAGAACUGUCUUGAUUUCUAACACAGUAAAUAUGGCAGGCAAAGGUCUAAGUUUGGUAAAUUAAGCUCACUGGCAUUCUCAGUGAUUUUUAUGAAUACAGAGGGAGCUCUAAGACUGAGAGUUUGGAGAGCUGCUGGGUGAGCUCAGGUCAAUCUCAGCCCCCAGGGGCUUUACUCUGCUGGGACGUCAGCCUUGCUCUCACCCGGGAGCCCCAGCUCUGCAGUCCCAGCUUCCUGUAGGAUCCCUUGUGGUUUACUGUCACUUCUCCCCAUCUUUGUAAGUGAAUCCCCAGGAAUUAUUUUUUUUUUUUAUUUGACAGAUAGAGUUAGACAGUGAGAGAGAGAGAGACAGAGAGAAAGGUCUUCCUUCUGUUGGUUCACCCCCCAAGUGGCCACUACAGCUGGAACUACCCAGAUCCGAAGCCAGGAAGCCAGGUGCUUCCUCCUGGUCUCCCACACGGGUGCAGGGGCCCAAGCACUUGGGCCAUCCUCCACUGCCCUCCAGGGCCAGAGCAGAGAGCUCCACUGGAAGAGGAGCAGCUGGGACUAGAACCCGGCACCUCAGGCAGAGGAUUAACCAAGCGAGCCACAGCGCCGGCCCCCCAGGAAUUAUUUUAACUUGUGGAUGCUAUCCUUCUCUGGUUGCUCCAUUCAGUUUGGUGUCGAGAGAAAUGUGCUGACUACAUCAUCAGAACUUGCUUACUUGCUUGACACAGUGAAAAUUGCAGCAAAUUAUAGGUAUGUGUCCUCCAAGGCUGGUUUGCCAGUCUUUUCUCAAUACGAAAAGGCUGAAUUUGUACUUAUUGACUUUUCAUAGGAUCUGCCAGCAUCAGGCCAGCUUGUGUUUUCUUAAGAAUGACUAUGAGAAGGAAAUAAAUGGCAGUACGUGCUCA